AGUGGGUCGUAGACUUAAGUUAUAAGUUGAAACUGUGAAACUACUAGAGGAAUGCUUAAGGGAAAUACUUCAGAGCACUGGUGUAGGCUACAAGUCCCUCUAGGUGCAGGAAACAACAGUGGACAGUCAAAUGUGAGUCCAUCAAAGUGAGAAGCUUCUACCAGAGAGGCCAACCACCAAUGCAAACCAAAGACAGAACAAAUAGAAACACACAUUGUCAAAAGGAUUUAUAUCUACCAUGUAAACAGAAGCAAAGCAUACAGAUGGACUUCUCCAAAGAAGAAAUUUAGAUGAGCAAGCAGAGCACCUUUCUCUCUCAAAAUGAAGUUAGUCAAUUAGGCUCCUGUAUCUAGCAACCAACUUCAGGAAAGCCAGUGUGUCUUCAUGCCUAAUGGACAUCCCUGGAACAAACAAAUCAAACAGAACAAAGGAAUUCUAGAGGGAGUAGAGCUGGACGUCCUGGUGUGACAGAAGUUCAAUCAAACAGAAUUGAUAAGAAAGGUCUUAAAUUAUCUCUAUUGACUGAAACUGGAUUUUACAACUCGACAUGCCCAAAUAGACUUGGAGCCACAGUAUCCCAGAGACUUAUUUGAAAAUUUCAGGAUAUGAGUAUGAAAAGCACCGUGUUAGAAAUGAAGAUUUCUCUAUGAUGUUGGAGAAGACUCUCCUGUACUAUUCCUUUUUACCCUCUUUCCCAGUAAUAACCCUGAAGGCCCCUCUCAGUCUCUGUGCUUUGAAAAUGGUGUUACACUCAGUGCGCACAAAGUGGUCCUGAAGAGCCAUGGUCUUUCACUACACAUUCGUGCGACCCAGGGAGGAGUAUUAAAAAAGUACGGAAGCAUCCCUGGAAUUCUAGAGAUAACUUUGUGGGAACCAAGUGAUCUUUCUAUCUCCCCAGCAUGGAAACAUGUUUUCAACUGUAACACAUCGUGUAAGUCCACCUGAGGGAAUUCAUUCCAUCCAGGACUCAGCCAUGCUUUCAAACCAAUUAAGAUGAUGGACUGUG
Molecule: long non-coding RNA, 1006 nt
Filed under: Cricetulus griseus (Chinese hamster)
Lineage: Eukaryota; Metazoa; Chordata; Mammalia; Rodentia; Cricetidae
Description: lncRNA (ENSCGRG00015005201.2)
Source: RNAcentral